GCGGGUGUAGUUUAGUGGUAAAACUACAGCCUUCCAAGCUGUUGUCACGAGUUCGAUUCUCGUCACCCGCU
Molecule: transfer RNA, 71 nt
Filed under: Streptococcus agalactiae
Lineage: Bacteria; Bacillati; Bacillota; Bacilli; Lactobacillales; Streptococcaceae
Also listed under: 1 other name
Description: tRNA-Gly
Rfam family: tRNA
About the family: Transfer RNA (tRNA) molecules are approximately 80 nucleotides in length.
Source: RNAcentral